ACAUGCCUACAUCAUAGCAUUAAUGCACCGGAUCCCAUUACAAAUCCGUAGUUAAGACCGCUUAGGCUAGAGUAGUAUUGGGAUGGGUGACCACCUAGGAAUUCCUACUAUUUUACAUGCA
Non-coding RNA from Picea glauca (white spruce), 121 nucleotides. The record is from Rfam. Lineage: Eukaryota; Viridiplantae; Streptophyta; Pinopsida; Pinales; Pinaceae.